RNAcentral lists this ribosomal RNA (207 nucleotides) under uncultured bacterium. RNAcentral describes it as "partial 16S ribosomal RNA". It matches the Rfam family "Bacterial small subunit ribosomal RNA", at positions 568 to 774 of the family's 1533-position model. The record is from RNAcentral.
CGCGUAGGCGGUUAUAUAAGUGAGAUGUGAAAUCCCUGGGCUUAACCUAGGAACUGCAUCUCAUACUGUGUGGCUAGAGUAUUGUAGAGGGUAGUGGAAUUUCCGGUGUAGCGGUGAAAUGCGUAGAGAUCGGAAGGAACACCAGUGGCGAAGGCGGCUACCUGGACAAAUACUGACGCUGAGGCGCGAGAGCGUGGGGAGCAAACA